This is a non-coding RNA of Clostridiales bacterium 42_27, 117 nucleotides long. Lineage: Bacteria; Bacillati; Bacillota; Clostridia; Eubacteriales. The record is from Rfam.
GUUGGUGUUGAUUACAACGAGGGUCCACCUGUUCCCAUACCGAACACAGAAGUUAAGCUCGUUUGUGCUGAAAAUACUCGGCUGGCAACGGCCCGGGACGAUAGGUUGGCGCCAACA